This 253-nucleotide ribosomal RNA is filed under the name uncultured bacterium. RNAcentral's name for it is "partial 16S ribosomal RNA". It matches the Rfam family "Bacterial small subunit ribosomal RNA", at positions 524 to 776 of the family's 1533-position model. The record is from RNAcentral.
UACAGAGGGGGCGAGCGUUGUUCGGAAUUACUGGGCGUAAAGGGCGCGUAGGCGGCCCGCUAAGUCGAACGUGAAAUCCCCGGGCUCAACCCGGGAACUGCGUCCGAUACUGGCGGGCUUGAAUCCGGGAGAGGGAUGCGGAAUUCCAGGUGUAGCGGUGAAAUGCGCAGAUAUCAGGAGGAACACCGGUGGCGAAGGCGGGUCUCUGGGCCGAUACUGACGCUGAGGAGCGAAAGCGUGGGGAGCGAACAGG